GAUGAACGCUAGCUACAGGCUUAACACAUGCAAGUCGAGGGGCAGCGGUAUCAAAAGCUUGCUUUCGGUAGCCGGCGACCGGCGCACGGGUGAGUAACGCGUAUCGAACCUGCCUCAUACUCGGGAAUAGCCUUGCGAAAGUAAGAUUAAUGCCCGGUGUUUUCAGAGUCCCGCAUGAGGCUUUGAACAAAGAUUUAUCGGUAUGAGAUGGCGAUGCGUCCCAUUAGCUUGUUGGCGGGGUAACGGCCCACCAAGGCAUCGAUGGGUAGGGGUUCUGAGAGGAAGGUCCCCCACAUUGGAACUGAGACACGGUCCAAACUCCUACGGGAGGCAGCAGUGAGGAAUAUUGGUCAAUGGGCGGAAGCCUGAACCAGCCAAGUAGCGUGCAGGAAGACGGCCCUCCGGGUUGUAAACUGCUUUUAGUUGGGAAUAAAACGGGGCUCGUGAGCCCCCUUGCAUGUACCAUCAGAAAAAGGACCGGCUAAUUCCGUG
This 492-nucleotide ribosomal RNA is filed under the name uncultured bacterium. RNAcentral describes it as "partial 16S ribosomal RNA". It matches the Rfam family "Bacterial small subunit ribosomal RNA", at positions 28 to 507 of the family's 1533-position model. The record is from RNAcentral.